ACCAAUCCACCUCGAAGGAGUAGCCUGUCCCGCCAUUGAGGAAGGAAUGGAAGAUCUCCGGAGCUGAACAGAAAUGGCAAAAUUCAACAGGUGAUAGCGCAGGUCACCACCAAGAAGCAGAUCCACCACCAUGAACAUGUCCUCCUCAUCCUGGAAGGAGUACCUGCGGGACCAGCGGCAUGUGAGCAAGCAGGCUGAGCCUCACAGCAGCCACAAAACCAAGCCAGGCUUCCCCCUCUCCUAACGAUGCGGCUCCUGUGAAAGCUGUGGGCAGUGCCACUGCCAGUGUACGCCAGCCUAGGUCAUUGCGCCUUCCCCAUGAAGCAGGUGCAACUCGAGGUGAUGUCUCAUUUUUGAACCUACUGCUACACUAAGGUGUAAUAGUAUUAAUAAGAAGUCCUGGUCCACCUGUGUGAGAAGCCAAGGGGCAGGGGAGUCUCGCUGACAGAAGAUCCAGUCGAGAGCCCCGAGGGUCCUCAGGCCCCUGGAUUCCAGCACCGGCGGAGGGUUCUCCUGCCUGGCUCGCCAAAUUGAUGCCAAAACAGCACAGAGCAACUGCUCAGAGAUGAGUUUUGUCUUUAAGCAGCGAAGGUAUCUAUUUCGUGGAACACUGAGGAGCUAGCCAAUUUGCACCGGACAAGCAAGCUGCCAAGCGCCACCAUGUAACCCCCAGCAGGCAGGGCUGCGGGCAGCGCGCGGGGUUUGCCAGCCAGCCACUUAAGAGCAACUUUGCAUUUUCAAUUGCAAACAAUCUGAUAAACCUACUUAAAAUAUCUCUGCUUAUCCUGAAAAUGAAUUGGAAAACACAACUGCUAAUUUAACCAUAAAAACCAGAAAAAGAGAUUUAUAUUUACUGUAGAGUAAAACGCCUCUCUAAAUCUGCAGUGGAACCAACAGGAGACUGACAGCAGUGAGGAUUCACUACAAAACAACAUUCAAUUGUUAUAUUUGGUGACAGUAUUUCUAAGGAAAGAGUAUGUGGGAUUGUAUAAUACUUAUGAAUCACACAAUUAUGUUCUCAUCUUAAAUGUAGGUUUAUUCUAAAAGUACAAGAUGAAACGGAGAAAUUUGCUAAGAGAGCAAGUUUUCCCAAGAAUCCCAUUACUCAUUGGAAAAAAAUAUUUGCAAUUGUUAAAACACUAAAUAAAUAAAUACUAUUUGGCUACCCUGGAGUAAAGGCUCAACAAAAAGAAUGUAAAGUACUACCAACUUCCAGCACUUUGAGUAUAACACUUUCUGUUUUUUUGAAAGGCUUUCCACCCACCAGCCUGCCACGCACCCCACAUCGCCAUGGGCGGCCCGAGGCUCAGCCUGCCUGGCCCCCCAAGGUGUGCUGCCUCCCCACGAAAAACUGCGGCUUCUGCCCCUCUUAUGUCCCCAUGAAAUCAGGGAGCCGCUCAUGAGGCACUGAUUCCAGCCUUAAAAACACAUCCCAGAGGUAACAGAGCCUUGCAGUGGCUGAAGGAGAUUACCGUGCACCACACCUUGCAGAUGCACUUCCUUGCAUUUUUUACAUAAUAUAACAUUUUUCUUUACCCAUUAUUUUCCAAGUAAGCACAGCCUUUAUUUUACAUUUACUAUUUUCUCCUUGUGGUUGUGGCUGCACAAAUUUUGAGGCAAUCUCAAAACCACUGGGUUGGAAAUAGUGCCUACCUGACCUGAUGAUACUCUCUAAGCCACAGCUGCAGACCUUUACCAAAAGCCACGCUGUCGUUGGAAAGAAAGCAUUUCAAACCACGCCAAGGGUGUGCAAAACACUUGGGGAAUAAAUCCUAGACAAAAUUUUGAGCAAUCCAGGUCAUAUACACAGUAAGAGAAGGAACCACUCUUCCCUGCACAGUCUGUCAUCCUCCACUCAAUGGGAUAUGAAAGAUUUUCCAUCACUUCUCAUAAAAAUCCCUCUUCUUCGCUCUGGGAAUGUAAGCCAUGAACUCCUUAUUUCUAUAACCCUGCACAGAUGAUGGAUGGAUUUUCUGAUCCCUGCCUCACAUCAGGGGCUCCUUCACAGGGCAGGGAGGGAAGAGAGAGGACCAACCACCUGGAGCACCCUGCAGCAGAAUCCAGGAGAGUGUCACGAGGCUGACUGCUAGGGACUCAUCCCAAACUAACCAAAGAUCAUAGGAUAUAAUGCACUAUUAUCUAAAAUGUGUCAAUUAGGUUUUUGUGCUAUUCUGGUUUCAGCUGGGAUAGAGUUUCCUUCUUAGUAGCUGGUGCAGGGCUGUGUUUUGGCUCUGAUGUGAGAACAACAUUGAUAGCACACUGAUGUUAGUUGUUGCUGGGUGAUGUUUAUACUAAAUCAAGGACUUUUCGGUUUCCUGGGCCCUGCCAGCAGGAGGGCUGGAGGGGCACGGGAAGCUGGGAGGGGACACAGCCGGGACAGGUGACCCGAACUGGCCAAAGGGACAUUCCAUACCAUAUGGCAUCAUGCUGAGUAUAUAAACUGGGGCAAGAAGAAGGAAGGGGGGACAUUUGGCAUUGUGGCGUUUGUCUUCCCGAGUAGCCGUUACGUGUGACGGAGCCCGGCUGCCCUGGGGAU
This is a long non-coding RNA of Falco peregrinus (peregrine falcon), 2536 nucleotides long. RefSeq lists it as uncharacterized. The transcript has 3 exons. The record is from RefSeq and is a predicted model, not a curated record. NCBI's taxonomy places the organism in Eukaryota, Metazoa, Chordata, Aves, Falconiformes, Falconidae.